UGGGGGAUUUUGGACAAUGGGCGAAAGCCUGAUCCAGCAAUGCCGCGUGUGUGAAGAAGGCCUUCGGGUUGUAAAGCACUUUUGUCCGGAAAGAAAUCCUUGGCUCUAAUACAGUCGGGGGAUGACGGUACCGGAAGAAUAAGCACCGGCUAACUACGUGCCAGCAGCCGCGGUAAUACGUAGGGUGCAAGCGUUAAUCGGAAUUACUGGGCGUAAAGCGUGCGCAGGCGGUUUGCUAAGACCGAUGUGAAAUCCCCGGGCUCAACCUGGGAACUGCAUUGGUGACUGGCAGGCUAGAGUAUGGCAGAGGGGGGUAGAAUUCCACGUGUAGCAGUGAAAUGCGUAGAGAUGUGGAGGAAUACCGAUGGCGAAGGCAGCCCCCUGGGCCAAUACUGACGCUCAUGCACGAAAGCGUGGGGAGCAAACAGGAUUAGAUACCCUGGUAGUCCACGCCCUAAACGAUGUCAACUAGUUGUUGGGGAUUCAUUUCCUUAGUAACGUAGCUAACGCGUGAAGUUGACCGCCUGGGGAGUACGGUCGCAAGAUUAAAACUCAAAGGAAUUGACGGGGUCAUAGCUGUUUCCU
RNAcentral lists this ribosomal RNA (585 nucleotides) under uncultured bacterium. RNAcentral's name for it is "partial 16S ribosomal RNA". It matches the Rfam family "Bacterial small subunit ribosomal RNA", at positions 355 to 1375 of the family's 1533-position model. The record is from RNAcentral.